Molecule: ribosomal RNA, 485 nt
Filed under: uncultured soil bacterium
Lineage: Bacteria
Description: bacterial SSU rRNA
Rfam family: Bacterial small subunit ribosomal RNA (bases 15-381)
Source: RNAcentral
AGGACGAACGCUGGCGGCGUGCUUAACACAUGCAAGUCGAACGGAAAGGCCCUGCUUUUGUGGGGUGCUCGAGUGGCGAACGGGUGAGUAACACGUGAGUAACCUGCCCUUGACUUUGGGAUAACUUCAGGAAACUGGGGCUAAUACCGGAUAGGAGCUCCUGCUGCAUGGUGGGGGUUGGAAAGUUUCGGCGGUUGGGGAUGGACUCGCGGCUUAUCAGCUUGUUGGUGGGGUAGUGGCUUACCAAGGCUUUGACGGGUAGCCGGCCUGAGAGGGUGACCGGCCACGAUUGGGACUGGAGACUACGGCCCAGACUCCUACGGGGAGCGAGCAGGUCGGGGAAUAUUGCACAAGUGGGCGAAGCCUGAUGCAGCAACGCCGACGUGGCGGGAUCGGAACGGCCGUUUACGGGGUUAGUAAACCCGUCGUUUCGCCGUUGUCGACGAAGUCGUAGAGUGAGGUAAGUAGGUAAAGAAGUCGACCGG